GCAUGGCAUUGGAUCGCAUCCACAACACUCUCAAGAUGUUUUGUGUAGCUGAUCCUCCUUAUGACAAGUCACUCCAGCAGCUGCAAAGCUUUUUAUCAGGUUUAGUUUCUGAAGAGAAGUUAGAAUUGAGAGAUGGAAUGUACUUCUUGAAGAAGUAACGAUCCGAUAUGAUCAUAAUUCGUCAUACUUCAUAACCAGUGCAAUGGGAGUU
This 211-nucleotide unclassified non-coding RNA is filed under the name Hevea brasiliensis (rubber tree). The record is from RNAcentral. Lineage: Eukaryota; Viridiplantae; Streptophyta; Magnoliopsida; Malpighiales; Euphorbiaceae.